GACGAACGCUGGCGGCGUGCUUAACACAUGCAAGUCGAACGGAAAGGCCCUGCUUUUGUGGGGUGCUCGAGUGGCGAACGGGUGAGUAACACGUGAGUAACCUGCCCUUGACUUUGGGAUAACUUCAGGAAACUGGGGCUAAUACCGGAUAGGAGCUCCUGCUGCAUGGUGGGGGUUGGAAAGUUUCGGCGGUUGGGGAUGGACUCGCGGCUUAUCAGCUUGUUGGUGGGGUAGUGGCUUACCAAGGCUUUGACGGGUAGCCGGCCUGAGAGGGUGACCGGCCAAAUGGGACUGAGAUACGGCCCAGACUCCUACGGGAGGCAGCAGUGGGGAAUAUUGCACAAUGGGCGGAAGCCUGAUGCAGCAACGCCGCGUGCGGGAUGACGGCCUUCGGGUUGUAAACCGCUUUCGCCUGUGACGAAGCGUGAGUGACGGUAAUGGGUAAAGAAGCACCGGCUAACUACGUG
Molecule: ribosomal RNA, 467 nt
Filed under: uncultured bacterium
Lineage: Bacteria
Description: partial 16S ribosomal RNA
Rfam family: Bacterial small subunit ribosomal RNA
Source: RNAcentral